UCUCUAAUAUAUACAGUACUGUGGUCAGGUCUGAUGGUAUCUAUGAUAUAUACAGUACUCUGUAAAGCCUCUACUCCUGUCUGUGGUCAGGUCUGAUGGUAUCUAUGAUAUAUACAGUACUCUGUAAAGCCUCUACUCCUGUCUGUGGUCAGGUCUGAUGGUAUCUAUGAUAUAUACAGUACUCUGUAAAGCCUCUACUCCUGUCUGUGGUCAGGUCUGAUGGUAUCUAUGAUAUAUACAGUACUCUGUAAAGCCUCUCCUCCUGUCUGUGGUCAGGUCUGAUGGUAUCUAUGAUAUAUACAGUACUCUGUAAAGCCUCUCCUCCUGUCUGUGGUCAGGUCUGAUGGUAUCUAUGAUAUAUACAGUACUCUGUAAAGCCUGUCCUCCUGUCUGUGGUCAGGUCUGAUGGUGUGGACCAGUGCUGGUCUGGUAGUCAUGGUGACAGUGUUAGGACUGGUCCUGCUCCUGUUCUACAGACAGAGGAGAGGAACCAGGAGAACACCACCACCACCACCACCACCAGUCUCCUCCAACACACAAUCUGACCCUACUGGAGAGGUUGACUGUGUGUAUGAGGAGAUCAGAGAGGCAGACAGACAGACAGACACACUUCCUGUGGUCAUCUCUUCAGUUAACUCCACUGUCAACUCACCUACCAACUCUACAACCUACCCUGCUGGCCAAGCAAUCGGUGUCCCACACUGUGACAUCUAUGCUAACGCUAGCUGCCACAAAGAUGAUAUAAAUCCAAGUUAUUCUACUGCAGAUCACCCAGAUUCUCUCAUCUACUCCAAUGUGGAUCUACCUACAGAUUCUAGAGUCUCCUCAAGUCCUUCAACAGCCAGUGGAACCCAGGAUGAUUCCAUCUAUUCUACAGCUCAGCUACCCAAAGAUACUGUAGAAUAAACAAGAUACCCUGCUGUACACCUCUCUAAAGACACUCCAGAAGAUUCCCUCUACUCUACAGCCCAGCUACCCAAAAUAAUAUAGUACUUUUGAAUCUCUACAAGGGAUACAUCCCAAAUGACACCCUAUUAUCUAUCCCCCAUAUGGACCCUGGACAAAGGCAGUGCUCUAUAGAGAACAAGGUGCCAUCUGGGAUGAAGAGAAGCUCCCUGUAGAGAGACGAAGGGUUGUCACCACAGAGCCGCCAUCUUGGAACGACAUUAAAAAACAAUCCCUUUCCUGUUUCAAAUCCUCCUUGACAUAUUGUAUUAAAACAGCUCAUGUAGUUUUACUGAAUAUAAUGUCUGUAACAUAUGAACAUCUGGCUUUAAAAUCACUUUUAUCUCCAGAUUUUGUGAAAGUCAACCAACAUUAUUGUAAAUACUUGUGUAAAUAUGAACUAUGUGUUUUGUCAAAUCUUGUCUUCAUUUAGGCUGUUAUAAUAAUGAAGACAGUAAUACCAUUAUAGUCCGUUCUACCUUUGAGAUUUACAUAUCUAUUGUGUAUGUAUAUACACUGUGCCUUUUAAAGCAUUUCAUUAAAACAUCAAAAUAG
Oncorhynchus kisutch (coho salmon) is the source of this 1500-nucleotide long non-coding RNA. RefSeq lists it as uncharacterized. NCBI's taxonomy places the organism in Eukaryota, Metazoa, Chordata, Actinopteri, Salmoniformes, Salmonidae. The record is from RefSeq and is a predicted model, not a curated record. The transcript has 2 exons.